UGAAUGCAAACAUAUAAAUGAUGUCCUCUAUUUUUCUAAUAACAGGGUGAUAGCAACCCUGGGCCUCCAGGCUUUCCAGGGCUUCCAGGUGAAGAUGGAGAUCCAGGGCCUACAGGUGAUCCUGGGAAUCCUGGCUUACCUGGAUAUCCAGGGCUAACUGGCAGUCCUGGUUUUCCAGGAGAAAAGGGAGUAAAGGGUUCUGAAGGGCUUCCAGGGCUACCUGGUAGCAAAGAAUCAUGUAAAGGCUUGCCUGGGCCAAGUGGAGAACCAGGACCAAGUGGUUAUGAAGGACCUCAAGGUUAGUCUAUGCUAGACUCGUGUGGUGUAUUUGAUGUUAGCCCUGAUAGGACAGUACAGACAGAUAAAAACAGGUAAAAGCUUAGUAAUACCAAUCUGGAUAUAAAUUUAUAUAUUUUUUAGUGCUGUCAGCGUUAAUCUCGUUAAAAUGACAUUAACGCCAUAACCGGAUUAACGCGCCAAAUCUCCGUUAGCGAGUUAACGCGGAUCCCCCCUUGCGUGGGGCUGCACGGCAUCAACGCAUUAGCUUGUUUAGCACGUUAGCGCCAUGCAGCCCCACGCAAGGCGAGAUCUGCAUUAACUCGCUAACGGAGAUUUGCCGCAUUAGUGCAGUUAUGGCGUUAACGUCAUUUUAACGAGAUUAACGCUGACAGCACUAAUAUUUUUAUAUAUUAUAUUUCCUUUGCUCCUCACCUUUAUUUAUUUAUUUAUAUAUAUUUUUUUUGGGGGGGGGGGGGUUGUAUAUUUUAGGACCUAAUGGCUUUCCUGGUGAGAAGGGAAAUCAAGGUUUGCCUGGGUUUAGUAUUCCUGGCCCUGCUGGUGAACCUGGGUUUCCUGGGCCAUCAAGAACAGGUUCACAAGGACAUCAUGGACAAAAAGGAAUCAAAGGACAAAAUGGCCUACCUGGUCAACCAGGACCCAGAGGAGACCCUGGACCAGAUGGAUUGCCAUCAGGAUAUGGACCAGAUGGGUUGCCUGGAAUUGCAGGUCCACCAGGUCAAAGAGGUAAACACAAAUGCAACACAAACACACGUGCGCACACACACACACAAUGCAUAUAAUAUACACAAACAAUAAAUAUAAAAAACAAAGUUAAGU
This 1116-nucleotide long non-coding RNA is filed under the name Oreochromis niloticus (Nile tilapia). RNAcentral describes it as "lncRNA (ENSONIG00000037934.1)". Lineage: Eukaryota; Metazoa; Chordata; Actinopteri; Cichliformes; Cichlidae. The record is from RNAcentral.